Molecule: long non-coding RNA, 302 nt
Filed under: Capsella rubella
Lineage: Eukaryota; Viridiplantae; Streptophyta; Magnoliopsida; Brassicales; Brassicaceae
Description: long non-coding RNA (CRUB_LNC000526)
Source: RNAcentral
AAAUUGGGUCCCAAAUGGGCUAAGAACUCGGAAACAUUGCGUUGAACCACUAAAUGACUUAUAUAGUGUUGUUUGGGAUUAGAAUAUGUUAGAAUACAAUGAAUAUUAUUGAUUAGAAGUGCUAGGGAUGCAUGAAGAGUGUUUAGAAAUGUGUAGAAAUAUUUGCUGAAAUUUGGUACAAAAUGGGCUAAGAACCCAAAACCAUUGCUUUGAAGCAUUAAAUGGCUUGUCUAGUGUUGUUUGGGGAUAUAAUAUGUUACAAUACAAUAACUUUGAUUGAUUACAAGUGCUAGAGAUGCAUG